Non-coding RNA from Callithrix jacchus (white-tufted-ear marmoset), 3428 nucleotides. Lineage: Eukaryota; Metazoa; Chordata; Mammalia; Primates; Cebidae. The record is from RefSeq and is a predicted model, not a curated record.
GAACAGGCUGUGCUUCCCUUCCAGGCACAGGGCCCUCUUUGGCAAUUCCCAGGGCUUUUCUCACACCUUAUUCUUUCUGGAAUCUAAGAUAGGAGCCUUUGGGUGAUUGGGUGAUUGAGCUGCUGAAAUGGAAGCCCAGCCAGCCCAGCAUGCAGCCUGUAUCCUGACAGGAGGGGCAGGUGGGAACACAGGAGCUGGCAGGGGAGGAAGCCCAAGGGCGGGGACUCCAGGGAGGCAGGAGAGCUGAGACCACACACUCCUGGGUCCUCCUGAGCUGUGAGGUUUGGCUCACUGUGGAUUUCACCCCAACACGGUUGCCUCAGCUUUCCUGGUACCUCUCCCUGCACCUCACAGUCCUGCUCCUUCAUGACUUCUCUGCACAUAGCCCACAAGCCUGUCCCAGUCUUUCUCUGGCUUCUCCCUUUCUCCAUGCCACUCUCAGCUUUGGUUUGCGCCCAUCAUGGCUGGCUUCCCAUUUCUUCACUCCCGGGCUCAGACCGGCUUGCAUCAAGUUCCCAGUCUUCCCGGAGCUGUGUGUGUGUGUGUGUGUGUGUGUGUGUGUGUGUGUGUGUAAGGAAAUAGAAAGGGGCCUCACAGAACACAGGAAGGCUUCCCUGGCCAAGGGAAGAAGGCAGGUCUGGCUGUCAGCAGCCUCUCAGUGUGUCCUCCUAGCAGGAGGCUGCACAUGGCAGGCCAUGGGGGUGCAGGUUUCUGGUCAGUGAUGAGUAUGCACGCUGAUGUUACUAAGCCCCUCAGCCUGGUCGCUCCUGGCCUCCUUUUAUUUUAUUUAUUUAUUUUUGAGGCAGAGUCUCACUCUGUGGCCGAGGCUGGAGUGCAGUCUCAGCUCACUACAACCUCAACCUUCCAGGUUCAAGUGAUUCUCCUGCCUCAGCCUCCUGAGUAGUUGGGAUUAUAGGCAUUCACUACCACACCUGGCUAAUUUUGUAUUUUUAGUAGAGAUGGGGUUUUGCCAAUGUUGGCUAGGCUGGUCUCGAACUCCUGACUUCAAGUGAUCCACCUGACUCAGCCUCCCAAAGUGCUGGGAUUACAGGCGUGAGCCACUGCACCUGGCCCUUUUGUUUUAUUUUUAAAGACAGGGUCUCACUAUGCUGGCCAGGAUGGUCUUGAGCUCCUGGGCUCAAAUGGUCCUCCCAAGCAGCUGGGAUUAUAGGUGUGCCACUGCGCCUGGUUUGUGAGGCCAGGAUUUGGAAUGUAGGUUAAGAAAAUUCAUUUCUGGGUGGGCGAGGUGGCUCACACCUUUAAUCCCAGAACUUUAGGAGGCUGAGGCAGGUGGAUCACCCGAGGUCAGGAGUUUGCGACCAGCCUGGCCAACAUGGUAAAAUCCCAUCUCUACUAAAAAUACAAAAAUUAGCUGGGCAUGGUGGUGGGCACCUAUAGUCCCAGCUACUUGGGAGGCUGAGGCAGGAGAAUUGCUUAAACACAGGAGGUGGAGGUUGCAGUGAGCCAGGACCAUCCACUGCACUCCAACCUGGGUGCCAGAGUGAGACUCUGUCUCAAGGAAAAAGCAAAUUCAUUUUAGUGAUUGUAUGUUAAAGAAUUUUAAGUCAGGCCAGGCAUGUUGGCCAUGCACGCCUGUAAUCCUAGCACUUUGGGAGGCCGAGGCAGGCAGAUCACCUGAGGUCAGGACUCCAAGACCAGCCUGGCCAACAUGGUGAAACUCGGUCUCUACAAAAGUACAAAAAUUAGCCGGACAUGAUGGUGGAUGCCUGUAAUCCCAUCUACUCGGGAGGCUGAGGCAGAAGAAUCACUCGAACCUGAGAGGCAGAGGUUGCAGUCAGCUGAGAUCAUGCCACUGCACUCCAGCCUAGGUGAGAGAAAGACUCUGUCUCAAAAAAAAAAAGGAAUUUCAAGUCAGAAAAGAUGGUGAAGAAACUAUUUUGCAUACUCACUGUGGAAUUCUCGUUGUGCAGGUUUUGCCUAAAUUUUAGCAUUUAAUUUUCCUGAGCUUUCAGAAGGUGUCUGUUUGGUUUUUGUUUUCUUUUACUUGACCCUACAGGAAUGAGGAAGGAAAGUAUUCUUACCUCUAUGUUCCCAGUGAUAAAAACAAAUCUUAAGAGGGGGAUAAAAGAAUUUGGGGUCCGAAGAUGGCAUGAAGUGGAGUAGGCACAGGGUAUUUGAGCAGCUUGCCUCUUCAGGGCUGGAGGUCAGUUGGGGCCAGAUGGCCAGGGGCUAGGCCUUCUGUGGGCCAGGCAACCAGCGGACACGCUGCCUUUUGCUUGCUGAGUGGUGGGAGGACAGUAGAAACUGCCUCAGCUGCCAUGCCUGUGGCCAGGGCAAGGGCAGAGAGCCUCCUUUCCUCAUUCCUGCCUCCAUGGACCACCUGCCCAGCCCCCUUUCUGCCCCAAGUCUCUGGCAGGGCCUCCUCUCCUCUGACCAUUUCUCCUGGGGGGUGAGGGAGUGUAGCUCUCCCCAGCCCACGAGGUUUCCAGGAGAGCUCCGAAUCCGCCUGCCAAAGCUGGUCCCUGGCCAUGGCUUGGAGAUGGCCACCUCCAUCUGCCAGUCACCAUCAGAAACCCUGGAGGCUCUUUCCUUGCCUAACGCAGCCAUGGCUCAUGGUCCCAAGAAGCAUCUGAAGCGGGUGGCAGCUCCAAAGCACUGGAUGCUGGAUAAAUUGACCGGUGUGUUUGCUCCUCGUCCAUCCACCAGUCCUCACAAGUUGUGAGAGUGUCUCCCCCUCAUCAUUUUCCUAAGGAACAGACUUAAGUAUGCCCUGACAGGAGAUGAAGUAAAGAAGAUUUGCAUGCAGCAGUUCAUUAAAAUUGAUGGCAAAGUCCGAACUGAUAUAACCUACCCUGCUGAUUUCAUGGAUGUCAUCAGCAUUGACAAGACAGGAGAGAAUUUCCAUCUGAUCUAUGACACCAAGGGUCGCUUUGCUGUACAUCGUAUUACACCUGAGGAGGCCAAGUACAAAUUGUGCUAAGUACGAAAAAUCUUUGUGGGCACAAAAGGAAUCCCUCAUCUGGUGACUCAUGAUGUUCGCACCAUCCGCUAUCCUGAUCCCCGCAUCAAGGUGAAUGAUACCAUUCAGAUUGAUUUGGAGACUAGCAAGAUUACUGAUUUCAUCGAGUUUGACACUGGUAACCUGUGUAUGGUGACUGGGGGUGCUAACCUGGGAAGAAUUGGUGUGAUUACGAACAGAGAGAGGCACUCUGGAUCUUUCGAUGUGGUUCAUGUGAAAGAUGCCAAUGGCAACAGCUUUGCCACUGGACUUUCCAAUAUUUUUGUUAUUGGCAAGGGCAACAAACCAUGGAUUUCUCUUCCCCGAGGAAAGGGUAUCCGCCUCACCAUUGCUGAAGAGAGAGACAAAAGACUGGCAGCCAAACAGAGCAGUGGGUGUAAUGGUCCCUGGGUGAUAUGUUAGAUGUUUAUGCAUAAUUAAAAAUCAUAUGGCAUGAUUAAUAGCAAAA